This is a long non-coding RNA of Oncorhynchus keta (chum salmon), 1358 nucleotides long. RefSeq lists it as uncharacterized. The record is from RefSeq and is a predicted model, not a curated record. Lineage: Eukaryota; Metazoa; Chordata; Actinopteri; Salmoniformes; Salmonidae. The transcript is spliced from 3 exons.
UAACCAGAUACAGGACAGCUAUUAAAGGUGACCAGAUGCAGGACAACUAUAAAAGGUAACCAGAUACAGGACAGCUAUUAAAUGCUAACCAGAUACAGGACAACUAUUAAAAUGCUAAGCAGAUACAGGACAGCUAUUAAAAGGCUAACCAGAUACAGGACAACUAUUAAAAUGCUAAGCAGAUACAGGACAGCUAUUAAAAGGCUAACCAGAUACAGGACAGCUAUUAAAAGGCUAACCAGAUACAUGACAGCUAUUAAAGGCUAACCAGAUACAGGACAGCUAUUAAAGGCUAAGCAGAUACAGGACAGCUAUUAAAGGCUAAGCAGAUACAGGACAGCUAUUAAAGGCUAAGCAGAUACAGGACAGCUAUUAAAAGGCUAAGCAGAUACAGGACAGCUAUUAAAAGGCAAACCAGAUACAGGACAGCUAUUAAAGGCUAACCAGAUACAGGACAGCUAUUAAAGGCUAACCAGAUACAGGACAGCUAUUAAAGGCUAACCAGAUACAGGACAGCUAUUAAAGGCUAACCAGAUACAGGACAGCUAUUAAAGGCUAACCAGAUACAGGACAGCUAUUAAAGGCUAACCAGAUACAGGACAGCUAUUAAAAGGCUAACCAGAUACAGGACAGCUAUUAAAAGGCUAACCAGAUACAGGACAGCUAUUAAAGGCUAACCAGAUACAGGACAGCUAUUAAAUGCUAACCAGAUACAGGACAGCUAUUAAAGGCUAACCAGAUACAGGACAGCUAUUAAAGGCUAACCAGAUACAGGACAGCUAUUAAAGGCUAACCAGAUACAGGACAACUAUAAAAGGCUAACCAGAUACAGGACAACUAUAAAAGGUAACCAGAUACAGGACAACUAUAAAAGGUAACCAGAUACAGGACAACUAUAAAAGGCUAACCAGAUACAGGACAACUAUAAAAGGCUAACCAGAUACAGGACAACUAUAAAAGGCUAACCAGAUACAGGACAACUAUAAAAGGCUAACCAGAUACAGGACAACUAUAAAAGGCUAACCAGAUACAGGACAACUAUAAAAGGCUAACCAGAUACAGGACAACUAUAAAAGGCUAACCAGAUACAGGACAACUAUAAAAGGUAACCAGAUACAGGACAACUAUAAAAGGUAACCAGAUACAGGACAACUAUAAAAGGCUAACCAGAUACAGGACAACUAUAAAAGGCUAACCAGAUACAGGACAACUAUAAAAGGCUAACCAGAUACAGGACAACUAUAAAAGGCUAACCAGAUACAGGACAACUAUAAAAGGCUAACCAGAUACAGGACAACUAUAAAAGGCUAACCAGAUACAGGACAACUAUAAAAAGUAACCAGAUACAGGACAACUAU